RNAcentral lists this long non-coding RNA (543 nucleotides) under Marmota monax (woodchuck). The record is from RNAcentral. Lineage: Eukaryota; Metazoa; Chordata; Mammalia; Rodentia; Sciuridae.
AGUCAAUCAACAAAUGUAUGAAAAAAUGCUCAACAUCUCUAGAAAUUAGAGAAAUGCAAAUCAAAACUACUCUUAAGAUUUCAUCUCACUCCAGUCAGAAUGGCAACUAUUAAGAAUACAAACAACAAUAAGUGUUGGUGAGGAUGUGGGGGAAAAGACACACUCAUACAUUGCUGGUGGGACUACAAAUUGGUGCAACCAAUCUGGAAAGCAGUAUGGAGAUUCCUUGGAAAACUUGCCAUUUGACCCAGCUAUCCCUCUCCUCAGCCUACCCAAAGGACUUAAAAACAGCAUACUACAGGGACACAGCCACAUCAGUGUUUAUAGCAACACAAUUCACAAUAGCUAAAAUGUGGAACCAUCCUAGAUGCCCUUCAUUAGAUGAAUGGAUAGAGAAACUUUGGUAUAUAUACACAAUAGAAUAUUACUCAGCAUUAAAAGAGAAUAAAAUCAUGGCAUUUACAGGUAAAUGGAUGGAAAUGGAGAAUGUUUUGCUCAGUGAAAUAAGCUAAUCCCAAAAAACCAAAUGCUGAAUAUUUUUUC